ACGAAUGAAGUUGAGCGGGGUUGCUGCUGGCCUCCGGGCAUGUGCACGCCUCGUUCGUCCAACCUUCUACACCACUGUGCACUUUCUCAUGGGUCGGGUUCUGCGCCUUCAAUGGCUGCGUCCCUGCCUGUGUGUCUACACAUACACAUGUUUGUUAUAGAAUGUCUACUGUGCAUGAAUGCAUAUAAUA
RNAcentral lists this unclassified non-coding RNA (190 nucleotides) under uncultured fungus. RNAcentral describes it as "sequence contains ITS1, 5.8S rRNA gene". Lineage: Eukaryota; Fungi. The record is from RNAcentral.